This 429-nucleotide ribosomal RNA is filed under the name Bacteroidota bacterium. Its description in RNAcentral is "Bacteroidetes bacterium partial 16S ribosomal RNA". It matches the Rfam family "Bacterial small subunit ribosomal RNA", at positions 355 to 776 of the family's 1533-position model. The record is from RNAcentral. Lineage: Bacteria; Pseudomonadati; Bacteroidota.
UAGGGAAUCUUCCGCAAUGGGCGAAAGCCUGACGGAGCAACGCCGCGUGAGUGAUGAAGGUCUUCGGAUCGUAAAACUCUGUUAUUAGGGAAGAACAAAUGUGUAAGUAACUAUGCACAUCUUGACGGUAUCUAACCAGAAAGCCACGGCUAACUACGUGCCAGCAGCCGCGGUAAUACGUAGGUGGCAAGCGUUGUCCGGAUUUAUUGGGCGUAAAGCGAGCGCAGGCGGUCAAUUAAGUCUGAUGUGAAAGCCCCCGGCUCAACCGGGGAGGGUCAUUGGAAACUGGUUGACUUGAGUGCAGAAGAGGAGAGUGGAAUUCCAUGUGUAGCGGUGAAAUGCGUAGAUAUAUGGAGGAACACCAGUGGCGAAGGCGACUCUCUGGUCUGUAACUGACGCUGAGGCUCGAAAGCGUGGGUAGCAAACAGG